Non-coding RNA from Burkholderia sp., 244 nucleotides. Lineage: Bacteria; Pseudomonadati; Pseudomonadota; Betaproteobacteria; Burkholderiales; Burkholderiaceae. The record is from Rfam.
GUCAAUCACCCCGGCCUGAAGGCCGAGGCUUGAGGAGGAGCACCUCUUGAGUCUGAGAUUGACCAGACCCAGCGCGGUGACGCGCUACGUUGUGCAGAAGGCAGCCGACCCACCGUCGAAUCCUUCCUCAGUUCGACGCUCUGGAAGUUGCAGCAGCAGACAAGCCCCGGGUAGGUACGAAACGGGCUGCGACGGGUGAGCUACCUCACCACCUGCUACACAACAUGGUCGAGGGGAGCGGAGC